RNAcentral lists this ribosomal RNA (497 nucleotides) under uncultured bacterium. RNAcentral describes it as "partial 16S ribosomal RNA". It matches the Rfam family "Bacterial small subunit ribosomal RNA", at positions 28 to 507 of the family's 1533-position model. The record is from RNAcentral.
GACGAACGCUGGCGGCGUGCCUAAUACAUGCAAGUUGAGCGCUGAAGGUUGGUACUUGUACCAACUGGAUGAGCAGCGAACGGGUGAGUAACGCGUGGGGAAUCUGCCUUUGAGCGGGGGACAACAUUUGGAAACGAAUGCUAAUACCGCAUAAAAACUUUAAACACAAGUUUUAAGUUUGAAAGAUGCAAUUGCAUCACUCAAAGAUGAUCCCGCGUUGUAUUAGCUAGUUGGUGAGGUAAAGGCUCACCAAGGCGAUGAUACAUAGCCGACCUGAGAGGGUGAUCGGCCACAUUGGGACUGAGACACGGCCCAAACGCCUACGGGAGGCAGCAGUAGGGAAUCUUCGGCAAUGGACGAAAGUCUGACCGAGCAACGCCGCGGGAGUGAAGAAGGGUUUCGGAUCGUAAAACUCUGUUGGUAGAGAAGAACGUUGGUGAGAGUGGAAAGCUCAUCAAGUGACGGUAACUACCCAGAAAGGGACGGCUAACUACAUG